CGAACGCUGGCGGGUGGUUAGACAUGCAGUCCAACGAGAGCUCCUUCGGGGAGUGAGAGUGCGCACGGGUGAGUACACGUGAGCAACUGCCGGGAAGCCGGGAUAGCCCUCGAAAGGAGGAUUAUACCGGAUGUGGCACCCUGCGAUUGCGGGGAGCUAAAGGAUCAUUCACUUCCCGAUGGGCUCGCGGCCCAUCAGCUUGUUGGUGAGGGUAACGGCCCACCAAGGCGACAACGGGUAGCUGGUCUGAGAGGAUGGUCAGCCACACUUGGAACUGAGACACGGUCCAGACACCUACGGGUGGCAGCAGUCGAGAAUCAUUCGCAAUGGGGGAAACCCUGACGAUGCGACGCCGCGUGGAGGAUGAAGGCCUUAGGGUUGUAAACUCCCUGUCAAGAGGGAAUAAGCAAGUGAAGGUACCUCUAGAGGAAGGGGCGGCUAAUUCCGUGCCAAGCAGCCGCGGUAACACGGAAGCCCCGAGCGUUGUUCGGAUUCAUUGGGCGUAAAGGGUGCGUAGGCGGCGCGGAAAGUCCGGCGUGAAAGGCAGUGGCUCAAC
RNAcentral lists this ribosomal RNA (556 nucleotides) under uncultured organism. Its description in RNAcentral is "bacterial SSU rRNA". It matches the Rfam family "Bacterial small subunit ribosomal RNA", at positions 30 to 613 of the family's 1533-position model. The record is from RNAcentral.